Molecule: non-coding RNA, 148 nt
Filed under: Nomascus leucogenys (northern white-cheeked gibbon)
Lineage: Eukaryota; Metazoa; Chordata; Mammalia; Primates; Hylobatidae
Source: Rfam by way of RNAcentral
GCCGGGUGUGGUGGUGGACACCUGUAAUCCCAGCUACCUGGGAGGCUGAGGCAGGAGAAUCGCUUGAAUCUAGGAGGCAGAGGUUGCAGUGAGCCGAGAUCAAGCCACUGCACUCCAGCCUGGGCAAUAGAGUGAGACUCUGUCUCAA